UGUCUGGUAGAGGAGGAGGAGGAAGGCCAGCAAUGUCUGUUAGAGGAGGAGGAGGAGGUGGGCCAGUGAUGUCUGGUAGAGGAGGAGGAGGGUCAGCAAUGUCUGUUAGAGGAGGAGGAGGAGGAAGAGGAGGCCCAGCAAUGUCUGGUGGAGGAGGAGGCGGAAGAGGGCCAGCAAUGGCUGGUAGAGGAAGAGGAGGAGGAGGAGAGGCAGCGAUGUGUGGUAGACUAGGAAGAGGAGGAGGAAGGCCAGCAAUGUCUGGUAGAGGAGGAGGAGGAGGAGGGCCAGCGAUGUCUGGUAGAGGAGGAGGAGAAGGAGGAGGAGGAGAGGCACUAAUGUCUGGUAGAGGAGGAAGUGGAGGAGGGGGAGGGCCAGCAAUGUCUGAUAGAGGAGGAGGAGGAGGAGGAAGAGGAGGCCCAGCAAUGUCUGGUGGAGGAGGAGGAGGAAGGCCAGCAAUGUCUGGUAGAGGAGGAGGAGAAGGAGGAGGAGGAGAGGCAGUAAUGUCUGGUAGAGGAGGAAGUGGAGGAGGGGGAGGGCCAGCAAUGUCCGGUAGAGCAGGAGGAGGAGAAAGGCCAGCAAUGUCUGGUAGAGGAGGAGGAGGAGGAGGAGGAGGAGGAGGAGGAGGAGGAGGAGGAGGAGGAGGUGGCGGAAUGGUAGUACACACCUGCAGUCGCAGCCAGCUUUGAUGGCAAAGGAGCAGAGAAGACAGCUGGCAUGAGACAGGUGAUGCUCUUCUGAAGCUCCAGUGUGCCUCAGGAUCACUUAAGUCAGCACAAGAUUUGUGGUCGUCAUGUAUACAAGGCUCACAGGUAGCACCUAGGAGGAAGUGGCUAUUCUCUUAGGACAGCUUUGCCCUCUUAAACUCCAUAGGAGCAGGUCCUGAGCUGCUGGAGGAUGAUUUGGUGGCUCAUUUAGCAGCUGUGUGUGCAGAAGCCUAGAGAGAGGAUGAGGUGACCCUAAAGGCCAGCUUCCCCCUAACUCUGGCCUCAUGAGAGGCAAGGAGGCCAGAGUUAGAGGCCAGCUUGCAGGUGUGGUUUGAGGCAACCUUGCUUGUCAUGACCCCAGAUCCCCCAUCGUGCACUGUGGUGCUUGGGGCUUCCUCUUCCCAUUAAAGAGCUGCUCAGUGCCUCAAAGGGAGUUAUAACAUGGGGGCAUCUGUUUCCUCCCACAGCCCUCUGGUGUAGCUGAAGCUGCCAACAUCGCUGAGCCUGAGCUUUGGUCAGGCACCUUUGAGAAGUGCUGUCUGUUGUGGUGUAUUUGAGUCAUAGCCCUGGGUAUGGGGGUAUGUGGCUGUGGCAGAGGCAGAGGCAAUGGCAGUUCCAGGAGGGAAAAGAGCCUGGGUGACAUUAGAGACCACCUGGGAGCUGUCAUGGUUCCCUGGGCUCAUAAUUGUGAAUAAGGAAUCCCCAAGGACUGGGUGUGUUGUGCUGCUUGAGGCUGGAGUAGAGGCUGGGGCCAGUCCUGGAGAUGUAGCUCCCAGGGCUUUGAAAUGGAGGCCACUAGGAUAAGUGGCUGCUCCAUGCUGCUGCCUAUGCCUAUCAAUGGCCCCCAGUAUGGGCAGCUUGCUAGAGGCAGAGUUAAUGUGAUGUUUCCCUUGUGUGGCCUGGUUUAAUGGUUCCCUUGUAUGGCUGGGGUUCGGUGUGGGCAGGGUGGAGGCUGUGGCUGCGCUGCCACUGGGCAAGUCACAAUAGCCUGUGCAGAGGGGAAGGAGUUCCCACUGGAGCCAGUGGGAGGCCCCAGGAGGAGAGGAUCAGGGUGCGGGUGUGGUAUCCAUAGGGGUGACCCCGUCAUCAGGCCCUGAUGUGUCCAUAGGGGUGACCCCGUCAUCAGGGCCCGAUGUGUCCAUAGGGG
This is a long non-coding RNA of Heterocephalus glaber (naked mole-rat), 1851 nucleotides long. The record is from Ensembl. Lineage: Eukaryota; Metazoa; Chordata; Mammalia; Rodentia; Bathyergidae.